GACGAACGCUGGCGGCAUGCUUAACACAUGCAAGUCGAACGGAAAGGCCCUGCUUUUGUGGGGUGCUCGAGUGGCGAACGGGUGAGUAACACGUGAGUAACCUGCCCUUGACUUUGGGAUAACUUCAGGAAACUGGGGCUAAUACCGGAUAGGAGCUCCUGCUGCAUGGGGGGGGUUGGAAAGUUUCGGCGGUUGGGGAUGGACUCGCGGCUUAUCAGCUUGUUGGUGGGGUAGUGGCUUACCAAGGCUUUGACGGGUAGCCGGCCUGAGAGGGUGACCGGCCACAUUGGGACUGUGAUACGGCCCAGACUCCUACGGGAGGCAGCAGUGGGGAAUAUUGCACAAUGGGCGGAAGCCUGAUGCAGCAACGCCGCGUUCGGGAUGACGGCCUUCGGGUUGUAAACCGCCUUCGCCUGUGACGAAGCGUGAGUGACGGUAAUGGGUAAAGAAGCACCGGCUAACUACGUG
RNAcentral lists this ribosomal RNA (468 nucleotides) under uncultured bacterium. Its description in RNAcentral is "partial 16S ribosomal RNA". It matches the Rfam family "Bacterial small subunit ribosomal RNA", at positions 28 to 507 of the family's 1533-position model. The record is from RNAcentral.